AGUGGGUGUAAUGUACCUACUAGCCUACGACGGGUACGGGUUGUGAGAGCAAGAGCCCGGAGAUGGAUUCUGAGACAUGAAUCCAGGCCCUACGGGGCGCAGCAGGCGCGAAAACUUUACAAUGCGGGAAACCGCGAUAAGGGGACACUGAGUGCCAGCACCAUGUGCUGGCUGUCCGCAUGUAUAAAUCACAUGUGUCAGCAAGGGCCGGGCAAGACCGGUGCCAGCCGCCGCGGCAACACCGGCGGCCCGAGUGGUGGCCAUUAUUAUUGGGUCUAAAGGGUCCGUAGCCGGUUUGAUCAGUCUUCCGGGAAAUCUGACAGCUCAACUGUUAGGCUUCUGGGGGAUACUGUCAGACUUGGAACCGGGAGAGGUAAGAGGUACUACAGGGGUAGGAGUGAAAUCUUGUAAUCCUUGUGGGACCACCAGUGGCGAAGGCGUCUUACCAGAACGGGUUCGACGGUGAGGGACGAAAGCUGGGGGCACGAACCGGAUUAGAU
RNAcentral lists this ribosomal RNA (500 nucleotides) under uncultured microorganism. RNAcentral describes it as "bacterial SSU rRNA". It matches the Rfam family "Archaeal small subunit ribosomal RNA", at positions 234 to 734 of the family's 1478-position model. The record is from RNAcentral.